This 833-nucleotide ribosomal RNA is filed under the name Pantoea agglomerans. Its description in RNAcentral is "bacterial SSU rRNA". It matches the Rfam family "Bacterial small subunit ribosomal RNA", at positions 614 to 1444 of the family's 1533-position model. Lineage: Bacteria; Pseudomonadati; Pseudomonadota; Gammaproteobacteria; Enterobacterales; Erwiniaceae. The record is from RNAcentral.
UCCUCCCGGAACGUGGAAGCUGUAAGGCUUGAAUCUGGGAGCGGAGGUUCCAAGUGCAACACUUACAGGUGAAAUGUGUUUUAGAUGUAGAGGAACACCGGUGGCGACGCCCGCUUCGUGGACGAAGAUUGACGCUCAGGAGUGAAAGCUUGGGGAGCGGACAGGAUUAGAUACCGUGGUAGUCCACGACGUAAACGACAUUGACCUGGAGGCCGUUGAAUUGUGGCCCCGCUUCCGGAGCUAAAGCGUUAAGUCGACCGCGUGGGGAGUCCGGCUGCAAGGUUAAAAUUCAAAUGAAUCGACGGGGGCCCGCACAAGCGGUGGAGCAUGUGGUUUAAUUCGAUGCAACGCGAACAACCUUACUUACUCUUGACAUCCAGAGAACUUAGCAGAGAUGCUUUCCUGCCUUCGGGAACUAUGAGACAGGUGCUGCAUGGCUGUCGUCAGCUCGUGUUGUGAAAUGUUGGGUUAAGUCCCGCAACGAGCGCAACCCUUAUCCUUUGUUGCCAGCGAUUCGGUCGGGAACUCAAAGGAGACUGCCGGUGAUAAACCGGAGGAAGGUGGGGAUGACGUCAAGUCAUCAUGGCCCUUACGAGUAGGGCUACACACGUGCUACAAUGGCGCAUACAAAGAGAAGCGACCUCGCGAGAGCAAGCGGACCUCACAAAGUGCGUCGUAGUCCGGAUCGGAGUCUGCAACUCGACUCCGUGAAGUCGGAAUCGCUAGUAAUCGUGGAUCAGAAUGCCACGGUGAAUACGUUCCCGGGCCUUGUACACACCGCCCGUCACACCAUGGGAGUGGGUUGCAAAAGAAGUAGGUAGCUUAACCUUUGA